UACGUAGGGGGCAAGCGUUGUCCGGAAUCAUUGGGCGUAAAGCGCGUGUAGGCGGCUAGGUAAGUCCGCUCUGAAAGCCCGGGGCUCAACCCCGGGAGGCGGGUGGAUACUGCUCAGCUCGAGUCCGGAAGAGGAGUGUGGAAUUCCUGGUGUAGCGGUGAAAUGCGCAGAUAUCAGGAGGAACACCAAUGGCGAAGGCAGCACUCUGGGACGGUACUGACGCUGAGACGCGAAAGCGUGGGGAGCAAACAGG
RNAcentral lists this ribosomal RNA (253 nucleotides) under uncultured bacterium. RNAcentral describes it as "partial 16S ribosomal RNA". It matches the Rfam family "Bacterial small subunit ribosomal RNA", at positions 524 to 776 of the family's 1533-position model. The record is from RNAcentral.